Non-coding RNA from Rhodocollybia butyracea, 93 nucleotides. The record is from the annotation of a GenBank genome assembly. NCBI's taxonomy places the organism in Eukaryota, Fungi, Basidiomycota, Agaricomycetes, Agaricales, Omphalotaceae.
UCUCUGGUAGUAUAUCGGCUAGUACACGCACCUGUCAUGAAGGUGUUGUUAUUAACACCGCGCGAAAGCUGGGUUCGACUCCCAGCCAGAGAG